Molecule: ribosomal RNA, 462 nt
Filed under: uncultured bacterium
Lineage: Bacteria
Description: bacterial SSU rRNA
Rfam family: Bacterial small subunit ribosomal RNA
Source: RNAcentral
UUACGGGAGGCAGCAGUGGGGAAUUUUGGACAAUGGGCGCAAGCCUGAUCCAGCCAUGCCGCGUGCGGGAAGAAGGCCUUCGGGUUGUAAACCGCUUUUGUCAGGGAAGAAACGGUCUGGGUUAAUACCUCGGGCUAAUGACGGUACCUGAAGAAUAAGCACCGGCUAACUACGUGCCAGCAGCCGCGGUAAUACGUAGGGUGCAAGCGUUAAUCGGAAUUACUGGGCGUAAAGCGUGCGCAGGCGGCUUUGCAAGACAGAUGUGAAAUCCCCGGGCUCAACCUGGGAACUGCAUUUGUGACUGCAUCGCUGGAGUGCGGCAGAGGGGGAUGGAAUUCCGCGUGUAGCAGUGAAAUGCGUAGAUAUGCGGAGGAACACCGAUGGCGAAGGCAAUCCCCUGGGCCUGCACUGACGCUCAUGCACGAAAGCGUGGGGAGCAAACAGGAUUAGAUACCCGGGUAC